This 505-nucleotide ribosomal RNA is filed under the name uncultured bacterium. RNAcentral describes it as "bacterial SSU rRNA". It matches the Rfam family "Bacterial small subunit ribosomal RNA", at positions 28 to 526 of the family's 1533-position model. The record is from RNAcentral.
GAUGAACGCUAGCGGCAGGCUUAAUACAUGCAAGUCGUGGGGCAGCAUGGGGUAGCAAUACUCUGAUGGCGACCGGCAAACGGGUGCGGAACACGUACGCAACCUUCCCAAAACUGGUGAAUAGCCCUCCGAAAGGAGGAUUAAUACACCGUAACAUGACGAAGUGGCAUCACUUUGUUAUUAUAGCUCCGGCGGUUUUGGAUGGGCGUGCGCCUGAUUAGGUAGUUGGCGGGGUAACGGCCCACCAAGCCUACGAUCAGUAACUGGUGUGAGAGCACGACCAGUCACACGGGCACUGAGACACGGGCCCGACUCCUACGGGAGGCAGCAGUAAGGAAUAUUGGUCAAUGGACGCAAGUCUGAACCAGCCAUGCCGCGUGAAGGAUGAAGGUCCUCUGGAUUGUAAACUUCUUUUAUCUGGGACGAAAAAAGGGCUUUCUAGCUCACUUGACGGUACCAGAGGAAUAAGCACCGGCUAACUCCGUGCCAGCAGCCGCGGUAAAGU